CUGACCGAGCAACGCCGCGUGAGUGAAGAAGGUUUUCGGAUCGUAAAACUCUGUUGUUAGAGAAGAACGUUAAGUAGAGUGGAAAGUUACUUAAGUGACGGUAUCUAACCAGAAAGGGACGGCUAACUACGUGCCAGCAGCCGCGGUAAUACGUAGGUCCCGAGCGUUGUCCGGAUUUAUUGGGCGUAAAGCGAGCGCAGGUGGUUUCUUAAGUCUGAUGUAAAAGGCAGUGGCUCAACCAUUGUGUGCAUUGGAAACUGGGGAACUUGAGUGCAGGAGAGGGGAGUGGAAUUCCAUGUGUAGCGGUGAAAUGCGUAGAUAUAUGGAGGAACACCGGAGGCGAAAGCGGCUCUCUGGCCUGUAACUGACACUGAGGCUCGAAAGCGUGGGGAGCAAACAGGAUUAGAUACCCUGGUAGUCCACGCCGUAAACGAUGAGUGCUAGCUGUAGGGAGCUAUAAGUUCUCUGUAGCGCAGCUAACGCAUUAAGCACUCCGCCUGGGGAGUACGACCGCAAGGUUGAAACUCAAAGGAAUUGACGG
Molecule: ribosomal RNA, 541 nt
Filed under: Lactococcus garvieae
Lineage: Bacteria; Bacillati; Bacillota; Bacilli; Lactobacillales; Streptococcaceae
Description: bacterial SSU rRNA
Rfam family: Bacterial small subunit ribosomal RNA
Source: RNAcentral